Molecule: unclassified non-coding RNA, 1670 nt
Filed under: Helianthus annuus (common sunflower)
Lineage: Eukaryota; Viridiplantae; Streptophyta; Magnoliopsida; Asterales; Asteraceae
Description: external transcribed spacer
Source: RNAcentral
UGACGACGUGCUUGCCUUCGAAAAUUAUGAUUCCUCAAAAAAUUAAUGUCUGUUCCUGUCACUUUACUUUUUGUGCAGAAUGUAUAUAUAGGGGGGUGGUAGUACUCUUGGGGUAGACAGGCAUGUGCUGGGAUGGCAUGCCAAGGCAUGUGCUGGGAUGGCAUGCCAAGGCAUGUGCUGGGAUGGCAUGCCAAGGACAAGCAUGUGCUGGGAAGGCAUGCCAAGGCCAAGACAAGGCCAAGGCAAGCACAUGCAUCGUGAGCGAGAUGAGACGGUUACAUUUACCCCAAGAGUGCCCAAGCAGGUGGUGUCAAACGCAUACUGAGCCCCACUUCGGUAGUUUGGCACGACAACAUAGACAUUCAGGCAAGCGUGUCUAUGGUUAACGUCUGUUCAGCUUGCCAGCCAUGUUGGGUAUUAUUCUACGGAUGAGAUGAUGGCACAAGGAUGAUUGCUGGUAACGUUUUGGCACCAGACCGCAUUGCUAGUUCAAGCUUCAGCGGGUGGAAAUAUGCCUAUACGGGCGUUGCUUGCUUGUUGUGGAGUUGGGACACGCCCAAUAUCUAUCAUCGACCUAGGUAAUUCCUGCAUGGCCCCAUAGGCAUAUUCACGCAAGCGUGCCUAUGGGUAAAGUCCCUGGAGCUUGCCAACAACCAUGUUAGCUGUAGUCUGGAUCGAUGAUGGCACAAGGAUGCUUGCUUUAAGGUAACAUUCUGGCAGCACAGCCAGCCCGCAAUUGCUAGUUCAAGCGGGUGGAAUCUGCCUAUAGGGGUGUUGCUUGCUUGCUGUGGAUUUGGGACACGCCCAAUAUCUAUCAUCGACCCAACGAAGUGCUCAACAUGGGUUGCUGAGGGCUAUUUUGGCACAGAUGCUUCACUCGUUUGCUUGGCUUUGAUAAAUGUUUAGAUGUCAUGAUGCUUGGGAUCCAAUAAAUUUAUGUGGGAAGCUGAGAGCUGGAACCCAAUGUCAUUCACCAGACGGUUUAGCUUCGUCAGUGUGUAUAAUAUGUCAUUGAACCCCAAUCCUCUAUGCCGACCUGAUUAUGACUUUUGGAUCGCAAUUAUCAUGGCUAUCAAAAACUGAGUAGGAGUCAUGGAAUAAGUGAACAAUUUGUGGCCUUUAUAGCUGUCAGCUUUCGCAUCGCCCGGUGUGUUUUGGGAAUCGCUUUGUGCAUUUGGUUGCCUGCCGUGCCUCUUGGCAUACGGUUGGUGCCACUUGCCGGGUGGUUUUCGGAAACAUCCACCGUAAAGGUGCAUGAGUGGUGUUUGGUUUGUUACGGGUGGUUGGCUCUUUGCUUGCGCAACAACUGCCACCCGACUUACCUCUUCAGUUUUUGCCUAGGCUUGUAUAGCCUAAGCAGAUUGUGGGUUUCCUGUGUUGCCUACCUACGUCACGGAAUUGUCCCGAUCGAUCAAAGUUUCUUUCGUCUUGUGUCGUCUUGAUGGCAUAAGAUGAACCAUGAAGCUGUCUCUUUGCACCGCAUCGUUAAUGCAUGCAUUGAUGUUGUGGCCCAUUGAGCAUUGCUUGGUACCUCGGAUACGGAACCUUAUGUGGGCAUGGGUCCUUAGGGAUCCUUGUUCUGCCCUCGUUUAGCGUUCGCGCUUCUCUUAGAAUGACUGCCCAGCCGGAAUGGGAAGCCAUUCUGGAUGGGCAUCGUCAAAGAGGAAUGC